RNA transcript from Hemicordylus capensis (graceful crag lizard), 3396 nucleotides. It is a transcript of the gene named breast carcinoma amplified sequence 4, with no coding region annotated. NCBI's taxonomy places the organism in Eukaryota, Metazoa, Chordata, Lepidosauria, Squamata, Cordylidae. The transcript is spliced from 8 exons. The record is from RefSeq and is a predicted model, not a curated record.
AGGCAUAUUUACGACGAGGCAGUGAGCUGCGCUUGAUUCAAUGGGAUCUGUGCCCAGGCUGGGUGGGAACCACGCGCAGAAUCGUGGCCCGACGGGAAUCCUCCUCAUCGUCGGCUCAUACUGCAAAGAUGAGGAGCCAGCGAGGAUCCGUGAGGCCGACUGUCGGCUGAGGCGGCGCAUGCCUGAGGGAUCCGCGCUAGGGGGAGCCCGGAGCUUACUUGCGGAAAACAGAGCAGCGCCUGGAAGUCAGCCAGCCAGCCAGCCAGCCAGCUGCUGGGCGGUGGAGGCGCCCGACGACUACGAGGAGGAGGACAGCGAUGGCGAGCCCCGCGGGAAAGCGGAGGCGGCCGGAGGCCAAGAAGGCGUGGAAGAGGAGCGGGAGGCUCGGCGGCGGCGCGCCCUCUGCCUGGCCCCUGAGGCGGGGGAGGAGGUGCAAAAAGUGGAACAAAGUAUAGAAGAGAUGUUAACAAGACUGGAUGAGUUCUGUAGCAUAACUGAUAUGAUUAGAAGUGACACUUCUCAACUAUUGGAUGAAGUAAUUCCACUCAUUAAAGUCAAGGUGCUGGAAAUGCAUAACAUCUAUACAAAAGUAGAUAAACUAGAGGCAUUUGUGAAAAUGGCUGGACACCAUAUUUCUUUCUUAGAAGAUCAAGUGCUCCAAGCAGAGAAGGCUCAUGCCAUCAUUCCCUGCACUGUCCAGAAAGUGCUUGGAUCUCUAGCUAUUCAUUCAUUUAAAAACAGAAUCUGCUGUCUGUUGGUUGUACUCUGUGGUAAAGAUCACAAAUUGAUCUGUAGUGGAUGGUUCUGCUUUGCUCCAUGACGUUGGUCUGGGAUGUCUUUUGGUCUUAAUGCCAGUAUGGUAAGCAAAGACUCUUUGACAAGCUUGAGGACUAGAAUAUUACAAGCCACCCCAAAAAAUAAAAUCCUAGCCAUAGCCUACAGUCUGCUGUCAGAACAUAUGAAGAGCCCUCGGUCAGGCCGGAUCCAUCUAGCUCAGCAAAAGAGCUUCUGGGAUCAUGCUGUAUCCUGAACUUCAUAAUUGUAGGGUGUGGAACUAGACAAAGGGAAAGGCUAUUCAGUAAAAACAAAAGAAAUAAAUGCUGUUACUUGUGCAGUCUGAGCUAUGUCAGCCCCUGGAUACCAAGAACACUUUCUAUUGUAGCACAACCGUGCUCUUAGGAAACAGAGAAUUUGUUAAUCGGCCAAUUACACUUAUUCCUGCCACCCCCCUUUUUCUUUCAUGGGGUUAAGGCAGGCACUGACCAGACCCAGAUAUGCUCAGUGUGCCCUCAGACCAUACCCCACCUAGAGCCCGUACAUACUAUGUGACUUAAGAUCACUCAUUCCAGGGUGUGCUGUAUUAUAGCAACUGAAAUUAAUUGUUGAACUCCAGAAUUUAGAAGUUGCACCUGUGCUACAGGUUCAGAUUAAUCACAGUACAACCAAAGUCAAGCAAUCUUGGCACAAAAGAACUGGAUUGAAAGUGUGGCAGUCCAGGCUUUUGCCUUUAUCAGUCAGGUUAACAGUAGGCCUGCAUAGCUUCAGAACUAUGUUAGGCCUCACACAAACAUGAAUAUGCAGUGAUGGGUGGGAAGGGGAAGAAAUAGUUUUAACAGUAGAAAAAGAGCAGAGACAAGACAGAGAACAACAUAAAGGAAAAAAAAGUGGCUUGAGCCCAGAGAUAUACCUGGCAUAGAUCUGUUGAGCGAAGUCUCUAUAGUCAUUGGGGUGAAGUUGGAUAAGGGAGUGAAAUUAGAUAACAGGGGAAAUUGAGCAUAGCCGUCCCCAGGAGAGACAUUCAGAACUAUACAGGGAUCUGUUAGUCCAGCUUUCUGUACUUCUGCUCUAAAACUCACUUUGGUAAUAGGAAAAUAUAUAUUGUGGUAUAUGGAGGAUAAAGUAUGUGAAUGAUUUUAGGAGGUACUAACUACUUCUAGAAUGGCCCGUAAUGUUUCUGACCAAACUAACUGGGCUUACUUUAAUAGGGGUUUUCUAGGAAAUCUCUGGGUAGUGGAUUCAGACUAAAUAUUUGAUGGGGGAAAGCUGUUUACAGCAAUGCUAAUGCCUUUGCAUGCCUGUUCAGCUGUUUGGCGCAAGUUAUUCCUUCUUGGCUCCUUAGAGAGUGGCAUCUUUGGAAUCCUGCUACUUGAUGCUAUACAUUUUAAUUUACAUUAAAGACUGGAAUCUAUAACUGCCAUGAAUGAAAAGCUAUACAUGCUGUUGCUCAAACAGUUCCUAGUUUCUAAACCUUGACUUGAGCUUGGAAAUGAGGGAGCUUGAAAUAGGUUGGAGCCUCCUCCCCCAGAUCCUGUUGAUCACAUCUGAGCAGUACCCAGCAGCAAAGGGAAACAAGCACUUUUCUCUCCAUUCUCCUUGUUGUGCUUCUUUCCUCUCUCCCUCAACUGUACCCCUGCCAGUGUUUAACGUAUCCCCAGGGAUGCAGGUACCACAGGCUGAGAAACUAUGCUCUAGUUCUCAGUUUAAACACUGUAUAACCGACACAUAGUAAAAACCAGGAUUGCAAGCUUAAAGUAAUACAUUUAACAAAAGCUUUACUUGUACAAUAAAAUAAAAUCCACAAAUUAACCAGUGGGGCUGCCAAAGCAAAGAUGGAUGAAUACGAGAUUUGGAAAGGACCUGCUACAAUGCAGACUACUCAUAGGUGCUUCCUCCUCACUCACUGAGCCAAAGCAAAAAUGCACCCCAACACCACAGCACACUUAUAACCUGCCAGAACUCUACAGAACCGAAGACUGUUUUCGUAUCAAGUACACACGUAGCAAAUAUCAAAGCCACUAGUUGAGUAUUUAAGUCAUCUUGAGCAUUUUAGAAAAAUUUGUUUCAAGCAACUAUAUAAAUGAGUUUAACAUGUGUAUUAGACCAAAGGAGGAAAGAGUGGCAGCAUCUCUGCCAUGUAUUGACUUUGAAUUCUGCCAUUUAGCAGAAACUAAACAUGGAACAUGUCAUGAAAACAUGUUUAGAUUUUAUUUUUGAACUAUUGCUGAUCUCCAUGCUAUCCAUUAGGAAAAAAUAAACUUGCUGUAGCUUUGCUUUGUGUUUCCAUUUGAGUUUUGAGACAUAUUUAUGUAAACAAAAGAUUAGGAAAUGGUACAUUUAAGAUGUCAAUAUUUCAUCGAAGUACUGCAGUGAUUGCACUGAAGCAGCUGUUUUCUACUCUAGAUAUAACUGCUUCAAUCUAUCAUGUAUACCAGGGAAGCUUCAGGACAGAAAUCCUAUUUUGUAAGUAGCCUAAAAAGUGGUACAAUCUUGGAAUUCAACAGAAAAAGCAGAAGCCACUCAAGUUUCUCUCUCCUUCAUCCUAGUAAUAUAAGCUUAGAUAUGCAAAGCUCUUGUGUAAUGUAACUUGAAAGGUACAAAUAAAAUUCUGGAAAAUAA